GUGCCAGCCGCCGCGGUAAUACGGAGGAUGCAAGCGUUAUCCGGAUUUAUUGGGUUUAAAGGGUGCGUAGGCGGAUGAUUAAGCGUGAGGUGAAAUGCCAUGGCUCAACCAUGGAACUGCCUCGCGAACUGGUUAUCUGGAAUGAUCCUGCCGUGGGAGGAAUGGGUAGUGUAGCGGUGACAUGCAUAGAGAUUACCCAGAACACCGAUUGCGAAGGCAUCUCACGAAGGGUCGAUUGACGCUGAGGCACGAAAGCGUGGGGAGCGAACAGAAUUAGAUACUCUGGUAGUCCACGCUGUAAACGAUGAUGGCUAACCGCUGGGGCAAACGCUUCAGUGGCCAAGCGAAAGCGAUAAGCCAUCCACCUGGGGAGUACGACCGCAAGGUUGAAACUCAAAGGAAUUGACGGGGGCCCGCACAAGCGGAGGAACAUGUGGUUUAAUUCGAUGAUACGCGAGGAACCUUACCCGGGCUCGAACGGCAGAUGAAGAGAACCAGAGAUGGUGACGCCUUUCGGGGCAUCUGUCGAGGUGCUGCAUGGUUGUCGUCAGCUCGUGCCGUGAGGUGUCGGCUCAAGUGCCAUAACGAGCGCAACCCUUGCCGUCAGUUACCAGCACGUGAAGGUGGGGACUCUGACGGGACUGCCACCGCAAGGUGAGAGGAAGGGGGGGAUGACGUCAAAUCAGCACGGCCCUUACGUCCGGGGCGACACACGUGUUACAAUGGCGGCCACAGAGGGGCACUACCUGGUGACAGGAUGGGAAUCUCGAAAAGCCGUCUCAGUUCGGAUCGGAGUCUGCAACCCGACUCCGUGAAGCUGGAUUCGCUAGUAAUCGCGCAUCAGCCAUGGCGCGGUGAAUACGUUCCCGGGCCUUGCACACACCGCCCGU
RNAcentral lists this ribosomal RNA (890 nucleotides) under uncultured bacterium. Its description in RNAcentral is "bacterial SSU rRNA". It matches the Rfam family "Bacterial small subunit ribosomal RNA", at positions 505 to 1397 of the family's 1533-position model. The record is from RNAcentral.